CAGCCGCCGCGGGAAUACGUAGGUGGCAAGCGUUGUCCGGAAUUAUUGGGCGUAAAGGGCUCGCAGGCGGUUUCUUAAGUCUGAUGUGAAAGCCCCCGGCUCAACCGGGGAGGGUCAUUGGAAACUGGGAAACUUGAGUGCAGAGGAGGAGAGUGGAAUUCCACGUGUAGCGGUGAAAUGCGUAGAGAUGUGGAGGAACACCAGUGGCGAAGGCGACUCUCUGGUCUGUAACUGACGCUGAGGAGCGAAAGCGUGGGGAGCGAACAGGAUUAGAUACCCCAGUAGUCCCUGUCUCUUAUAC
This 301-nucleotide ribosomal RNA is filed under the name uncultured bacterium. RNAcentral's name for it is "partial 16S ribosomal RNA". It matches the Rfam family "Bacterial small subunit ribosomal RNA", at positions 509 to 807 of the family's 1533-position model. The record is from RNAcentral.